AUGUUUAGUCGAGCACCAGGAUCAUGAAGCCCAAGAGCGAGAAGCCAGACAAGUUCAAGUCCGGUAUCUCCCAGGCUCUUCUGGAGCUGGAGAUUAACUCACACCUCAAGGUUCAGUUCAGGGAGCUGAAUAUUACAGCAGCCAAGGAAACUGAAGAUGGUGGUGGUGGGAAAGCUAUCAUAAUUUUUGUUCCCUUUCCUCAACUGAAAUCUUUCCAGAAAAUCCAAGUCUGGCUAGUACGUGAAUUGGAGAAAAAGUUUGGGGGAAGCAUGUUGUCUUUAUUGCUCAGAGGAGAAUUCUGCCUAAGCCAACCCGAAAAAGCUGUACAAAAAAUAAGCAAAAGCAUCCCAGGAGCCGUACCCUGAAAGCCAUGCAUGACUCAAUCCCCGAGGACUUGGUCUUCCCAAGUGAAAUUGUGGGCAAGAGAAUCCACGUGAAACUGGAUGGCAGCCGUCUCAUAAAGGCUCAUUUGGACAAAGCGCAGCAAAACAAUGUGGAACGCAACGUUGAAACUUUUUCUGGUGUCUACAUGAAGCUCACAGGCAAGGAUAUAAAUGUUGAAUUCCCAGAGUUUCAACUCU
RNAcentral lists this long non-coding RNA (581 nucleotides) under Homo sapiens (human). RNAcentral's name for it is "non-protein coding lnc-FMN2-3:4". The record is from RNAcentral. Lineage: Eukaryota; Metazoa; Chordata; Mammalia; Primates; Hominidae.